UAGGGAAUAUUGCACCAUGGGCGAAAGCCUGAUGCAGCAACGCCGCGUGAGUGAUGAAGGCCCUCGGGUCGUAAAACUCUUUUCAAGAGGAAGAGGAAGGACGGUACUCUUGGAAUAAGCCUCGGCUAACUACGUGCCAGCAGCCGCGGUAACACGUAGGAGGCGAGCGUUAUUCGGAUUUACUGGGCGUAAAGCGCGUGUAGGCGGCUUAUUAAGUUGGAUGUGAAAGCUCCUGGCUUAACUGGGAGAGGACGUUCAAAACUAGUAAGCUUGAGUACGAGAGAGGAAAAUGGAAUUCCGGGUGUAGUGGUGAAACGCGUAGAUAUCCGGAGGAACACCAGUGGCGAAGGCGGCCUUCUGGACCAUCACUGACGCUCAGACGCGAAAGCUAGGGUAGCAAACG
Molecule: ribosomal RNA, 403 nt
Filed under: uncultured bacterium
Lineage: Bacteria
Description: bacterial SSU rRNA
Rfam family: Bacterial small subunit ribosomal RNA
Source: RNAcentral